GAGUUUGAUCCUGGCUCAGGAUGAACGCUGGCGGCGUGCUUAACACAUGCAAGUCGAACGAAGCACCUGGAUUUGAUUCUUCGGAUGAAGAUCCUUGUGACUGAGUGGCGGACGGGUGAGUAACGCGUGGGUAACCUGCCUCAUACAGGGGGAUAACAGUUAGAAAUGACUGCUAAUACCGCAUAAGACCACAGGGUCGCAUGACCUGGUGGGAAAAACUCCGGUGGUAUGAGAUGGACCCGCGUCUGAUUAGGUAGUUGGUGAGGUAACGGCCUACCAAGCCGACGAUCAGUAGCCGACCUGAGAGGGUGACCGGCCACAUUGGGACUGAGACACGGCCCAAACUCCUACGGGAGGCAGCAGUGGGGAAUAUUGCACAAUGGGGGAAACCCUGAUGCAGCGACGCCGCGUGAGCGAAGAAGUAUUUCGGUAUGUAAAGCUCUAUCAGCAGGGAAGAAAAUGACGGUACCUGACUAAGAAGCACCGGCUAAAUACGUGCCAGCAGCCGCGGUAAUACGUAUGGUGCAAGCGUUAUCCGGAUUUACUGGGUGUAAAGGGAGCGUAGACGGCUGUGUAAGUCUGAAGUGAAAGCCCGGGGCUCAACCCCGGGACUGCUUUGGAAACUAUGCAGCUAGAGUGUCGGAGAGGUAAGUGGAAUUCCCAGUGUAGCGGUGAAAUGCGUAGAUAUUGGGAGGAACACCAGUGGCGAAGCCGGCUAACUGGACGAUGACUGACGUUGAGGCUCGAAGCGUGGGGAGCACACAGGAUUAGAUACCCUGGUAGUCCACGCCGUAAACGAUGACUACUAGGUGUCGGGGAGCAAAGCUCUUCGGUGCCGCAGCAAACGCAAUAAGUAGUCCACCUGGGGAGUACGUUCGCAAGAAUGAAACUCAAAGGAAUUGACGGGGACCCGCACAAGCGGUGGAGCAUGUGGUUUAAUUCGAAGCAACGCGAAGAACCUUACCUGCUCUUGACAUCCCGGUGACCGGCAUGUAAUGAUGCCUUUUCUUCGGAACACCGGUGACAGGUGGUGCAUGGUUGUCGUCAGCUCGUGUCGUGAGAUGUUGGGUUCCCUCCCGCAACGAGCGCAACCCUUAUCUUCAGUAGCCAGCAUUUCAGGUGGGCACUCUGGAGAGACUGCCAGGGAUAACCUGGAGGAAGGUGGGGAUGACGUCAAAUCAUCAUGCCCCUUAUGAGCAGGGCUACACACGUGCUACAAUGGCGUAAACAAAGGGAAGCAAACCUGUGAGGGUAAGCAAAUCUCAAAAACAACCUCUCAGUUCGGAUUGUAGUCUGCAACUCGACUACAUGAAGCUGGAAUCGCUAGUAAUCGCGAAUCAGCAUGUCGCGGUGAAUACGUUCCCGGGUCUGUACACACCGCCCGUC
RNAcentral lists this ribosomal RNA (1386 nucleotides) under uncultured bacterium. Its description in RNAcentral is "bacterial SSU rRNA". It matches the Rfam family "Bacterial small subunit ribosomal RNA". The record is from RNAcentral.